RNAcentral lists this ribosomal RNA (439 nucleotides) under uncultured bacterium. RNAcentral describes it as "partial 16S ribosomal RNA". It matches the Rfam family "Bacterial small subunit ribosomal RNA", at positions 339 to 795 of the family's 1533-position model. The record is from RNAcentral.
CUACGGGGCGCAGCAGUGGGGAAUAUUGCACAAUGGAGGAAACUCUGAUGCAGCAACGCCGCGUGGAGGAUGACACUUUUCGGAGCGUAAACUCCUUUUAUAUAGGAAGAAGAUGACGGUACUAUAUGAGUAAGCGCCGGCUAACUCCGUGCCAGCAGCCGCGGUAAUACGGAGGGCGCAAGCGUUACUCGGAAUCACUGGGCGUAAAGAGCGUGUAGGCGGAUUAAAAAGUCAGAAGUGAAAUCCUAUAGCUUAACUAUAGAACUGCUUCUGAAACUCUUAAUCUAGAAUAUGAGAGAGGUAGAUGGAAUUUCUGGUGUAGGGGUAAAAUCCGUAGAGAUCAGAAGGAAUACCGAUUGCGAAGGCGAUCUACUAGAACAUUAUUGACGCUGAGACGCGAAAGCGUGGGGAGCAAACAGGAUUAGAUACCCCCGUAGUC